This 2992-nucleotide ribosomal RNA is filed under the name Salmonella enterica subsp. enterica serovar Paratyphi B str. CFSAN000542. RNAcentral's name for it is "23S ribosomal RNA". It matches the Rfam family "Bacterial large subunit ribosomal RNA". The record is from RNAcentral. Lineage: Bacteria; Pseudomonadati; Pseudomonadota; Gammaproteobacteria; Enterobacterales; Enterobacteriaceae.
GGUUAAGCGACUAAGCGUACACGGUGGAUGCCCUGGCAGUCAGAGGCGAUGAAGGGCGUGCUAAUCUGCGAUAAGCGCCGGUAAGGUGAUAUGAACCGUUAUAACCGGCGAUACCCGAAUGGGGAAACCCAGUGUGACUCGUCACACUAUCAUUAACUGAAUCCAUAGGUUAAUGAGGCGAACCGGGGGAACUGAAACAUCUAAGUACCCCGAGGAAAAGAAAUCAACCGAGAUUCCCCCAGUAGCGGCGAGCGAACGGGGAGGAGCCCAGAGCCUGAAUCAGCAUGUGUGUUAGUGGAAGCGUCUGGAAAGGCGCGCGAUACAGGGUGACAGCCCCGUACACAAAAGCGCAUGUGCUGUGAGCUCGAUGAGUAGGGCGGGACACGUGGUAUCCUGUCUGAAUAUGGGGGGACCAUCCUCCAAGGCUAAAUACUCCUGACUGACCGAUAGUGAACCAGUACCGUGAGGGAAAGGCGAAAAGAACCCCGGCGAGGGGAGUGAAAAAGAACCUGAAACCGUGUACGUACAAGCAGUGGGAGCACAGGUUUACCUGUGUGACUGCGUACCUUUUGUAUAAUGGGUCAGCGACUUAUAUUCUGUAGCAAGGUUAACCGAAUAGGGGAGCCGGAGGGAAACCGAGUCUUAACCGGGCGUUAAGUUGCAGGGUAUAGACCCGAAACCCGGUGAUCUAGCCAUGGGCAGGUUGAAGGUUGGGUAACACUAACUGGAGGACCGAACCGACUAAUGUUGAAAAAUUAGCGGAUGACCUGUGGCUGGGGGUGAAAGGCCAAUCAAACCGGGAGAUAGCUGGUUCUCCCCGAAAGCUAUUUAGGUAGCGCCUCGUGAACUCAUCUCCGGGGGUAGAGCACUGUUUCGGCUAGGGGGCCAUCCCGGCUUACCAACCCGAUGCAAACUGCGAAUACCGGAGAAUGUUAUCACGGGAGACACACGGCGGGUGCUAACGUCCGUCGUGAAGAGGGAAACAACCCAGACCGCCAGCUAAGGUCCCAAAGUCAUGGUUAAGUGGGAAACGAUGUGGGAAGGCCCAGACAGCCAGGAUGUUGGCUUAGAAGCAGCCAUCAUUUAAAGAAAGCGUAAUAGCUCACUGGUCGAGUCGGCCUGCGCGGAAGAUGUAACGGGGCUAAACCAUGCACCGAAGCUGCGGCAGCGAACGUAUCACCCAAGACAACUUUGCGGAGUUGACGAUUGACGGAGCGAAGCGACGUCAAAGCGUUCAUUAAAGUCGAGUUGGCUUAGGGAUACGUUCGUUGGGUAGGGGAGCGUUCUGUAAGCCAGUGAAGGUGUGUCGUGAGGCAUGCUGGAGGUAUCAGAAGUGCGAAUGCUGACAUAAGUAACGAUAAAGCGGGUGAAAAGCCCGCUCGCCGGAAGACCAAGGGUUCCUGUCCAACGUUAAUCGGGGCAGGGUGAGUCGACCCCUAAGGCGAGGCCGAAAGGCGUAGUCGAUGGGAAACGGGUUAAUAUUCCCGUACUUGGUGUUACUGCGAAGGGGGGACGGAGAAGGCUAUGUUGGCCGGGCGACGGUUGUCCCGGUUUAAGCGUGUAGGUGUGUGUUCCAGGUAAAUCCGGUUCACUUUAACACUGAGGCGUGACGACGAGGCACUACGGUGCUGAAGCAACAAAUGCCCUGCUUCCAGGAAAAGCCUCUAAGCAUCAGGUAACAUCAAAUCGUACCCCAAACCGACACAGGUGGUCAGGUAGAGAAUACCAAGGCGCUUGAGAGAACUCGGGUGAAGGAACUAGGCAAAAUGGUGCCGUAACUUCGGGAGAAGGCACGCUGAUAUGUAGGUGAAGCGGUUUACCCGUGGAGCUGAAAUCAGUCGAAGAUACCAGCUGGCUGCAACUGUUUAUUAAAAACACAGCACUGUGCAAACACGAAAGUGGACGUAUACGGUGUGACGCCUGCCCGGUGCCGGAAGGUUAAUUGAUGGGGUCAGCGCAAGCGAAGCUCCUGAUCGAAGCCCCGGUAAACGGCGGCCGUAACUAUAACGGUCCUAAGGUAGCGAAAUUCCUUGUCGGGUAAGUUCCGACCUGCACGAAUGGCGUAAUGAUGGCCAGGCUGUCUCCACCCGAGACUCAGUGAAAUUGAACUCGCUGUGAAGAUGCAGUGUACCCGCGGCAAGACGGAAAGACCCCGUGAACCUUUACUAUAGCUUGACACUGAACAUUGAGCCUUGAUGUGUAGGAUAGGUGGGAGGCUUUGAAGUGUGGACGCCAGUCUGCAUGGAGCCGACCUUGAAAUACCACCCUUUAAUGUUUGAUGUUCUAACGUGGACCCGUAAUCCGGGUUGCGGACAGUGUCUGGUGGGUAGUUUGACUGGGGCGGUCUCCUCCUAAAGAGUAACGGAGGAGCACGAAGGUUGGCUAAUCCUGGUCGGACAUCAGGAGGUUAGUGCAAUGGCAUAAGCCAGCUUGACUGCGAGCGUGACGGCGCGAGCAGGUGCGAAAGCAGGUCAUAGUGAUCCGGUGGUUCUGAAUGGAAGGGCCAUCGCUCAACGGAUAAAAGGUACUCCGGGGAUAACAGGCUGAUACCGCCCAAGAGUUCAUAUCGACGGCGGUGUUUGGCACCUCGAUGUCGGCUCAUCACAUCCUGGGGCUGAAGUAGGUCCCAAGGGUAUGGCUGUUCGCCAUUUAAAGUGGUACGCGAGCUGGGUUUAGAACGUCGUGAGACAGUUCGGUCCCUAUCUGCCGUGGGCGCUGGAGAACUGAGGGGGGCUGCUCCUAGUACGAGAGGACCGGAGUGGACGCAUCACUGGUGUUCGGGUUGUCAUGCCAAUGGCACUGCCCGGUAGCUAAAUGCGGAAGAGAUAAGUGCUGAAAGCAUCUAAGCACGAAACUUGCCCCGAGAUGAGUUCUCCCUGAGACUUUAGGUCUCCUGAAGGAACGUUGAAGACGACGACGUUGAUAGGCCGGGUGUGUAAGCGCAGCGAUGCGUUGAGCUAACCGGUACUAAUGAACCGUGAGGCUUAACCUU